ACUAUCUCUUAGGUUAUUUUUGCUGAAAUUGAAACAGAAAAUUAAGCUGUAAGGUAGGGUUUCCAUUAAUAACCAGUGUCUGUAUAUGCGGAGGCAACACUUGUACAGGGUCCAGCACGGGAUGAGGUAUGGGCAUGAAAAGUUGUAAUAUCCAGCAACUUUGAUUCUGCUAGACUACCGCAAAAGAAAUAUUUGUGCAGGAGACAUUUCUUGGAAAAUAUGGGCGAAAUUUUUCCAGAGCAAAAAGCACGGCAAGACAUUCUAACUCAUACGCCGAAAACUUCCUCUCCUGUUGAGACAACGUCCGGGAAGCGAACGCUAUUGGUUGGCGUUCCCCCUCAUAAUCCUGCAAUAGGACUGCGGCAACCGCAAGGGAACUGGCAUCAGUCUGUAGGAUAAACCUACGGCCAUGCGUAGAACUGGAGGAUUGAUGAUAGCAAGUUUCAAAUCCUGAAACGCCUGUUGCUGUUCCGACCCCCAAACAAAUGGAGUAUCCCUCUUACAAAGGAGGUUAAGAGGGGCAGCACGUUCCGCAAAGUGUGGAAUGAACUUAUGAAAAAAAUUUACCAUUCCUAUGAAUAGCGCGAUUCCUUUAACAUCACGCGGAGGUGGGAAAUCCCUAACAGACUUAGUCCCAUCAGGGUCCACAGAGGCACCUGAAGAGGCAAUGAUGUGACCCAGGAAUGGUAACUUGAGUUGUGGCAAAUUUAUCCUUAUUAGGAUUUACAGUCAAUCCAGCCUUGCGCAGCCUGGUAGACUUCACGCAAGUGGUGGAGAUGCACGUCAAAAGAAUCACUAUAGAUCACCAAGUCAUCCAAAUAAUGGAAGACAUAUUUAAAUUUGAUGUCAGAGAAGACUUGAUUCAACAAGCACGUAAGAACUUGAGAGCCUGUUGCUAUGCCAAAGGGAACCCUAGUGUACUCAUACAAGUUCCAGUCGGUUGCGAACGCCGUGAGAGGCUUUGAUUGCUCAGUCAAUGCGAUUUGAUGGUACGCAGAGUUGAGAUCAAGCAAAGUAAACACUUUAGCUGACUUAAUUCUAAGCCCACUUGAACCUGGUCACUGAUAGAGUAUGUAUGUGGUAGGAGAUUUAUUUCCUGCAUAUGUCUUUACCUAAGAACCCUGUAACAUGUUGAUGCUGUCUCAAUGUACAGUGGCCACCUAACAAUCCUGUUAUCAGUCUAAGGCCAGAAAGCCUCUGGACAGCUGCUACUGCAAUAUCCAGAACUGACAUUAAAAAUGUUUUCAGCAUUUAGACACCUUUCAUCUGCCAUACAUCUUUAAGGAAGAAUGAAGCAACUGAUCAGUCUCCCACACAGUGCUGACCAUUUUGGACAUAACUCACUGCUAUCCAAUGUGGGUUGACAUCAGCUCAACAGUGUGAAUUAUAAUAUUAUAUUUAAGCAUCCUGUUGCACUUUGUUUAUAUCAUAUAGUGUGAAUUAUGCCUUGUGAUGUUCUGUAUAUUAAAACUAAUACCUCCCUCUCAUGCUAAUUUUGAAGUCAUUACUUGUCUGAAAAAAGUAUUACUCUAGUUGAAUACUAAAAUCUUCUAUGGUGCACCAUUAUGUACAGUGAUUAUAAUAUGAAUCAAAAUAUGUAGAUGUGAAUCACAAAUUUUUGGAAACCCCCAAAAUAAUUGUUAAUUAAGUGCAGUGCUUUCAUUUGUGAAAGAAAAGGUACCAGUACUUGCACAUACUCAUUUAAAAUUUUUAACCACCCAAUUUUCACAAAAUUUAGCAUGAACUUUAUGCUACUGAAUUGCACAAAAUUUAGUAACAAAUAUUUUAUGGAGAAGAGUGUCAGUACUGUGUAAAGUUGAACCAUGCCACAUAACUCAGCAACUACCUGGAACAGAGCCCUCCUUGAGAAUUUAACAGUUCCUUCCCACCUUGGGGAACCAAAAUGUUUUACUGUCUAAGUAAGAGCCUGCCACAGGUGCCUAUUAUUUAACAUAAGGUAAAAGUUGUCCCUGUGCUUAAGUAAUUAAGCAUUACAACAUGAAGGAA
Molecule: long non-coding RNA, 2007 nt
Organism: Cryptotermes secundus
Lineage: Eukaryota; Metazoa; Arthropoda; Insecta; Blattodea; Kalotermitidae
Exons: 3
Source: RefSeq, a predicted model, not a curated record